UCCUUGCCAGACUCCACUCUAUGGGGGC
Molecule: non-coding RNA, 28 nt
Filed under: Rattus norvegicus (Norway rat)
Lineage: Eukaryota; Metazoa; Chordata; Mammalia; Rodentia; Muridae
Source: RNAcentral